UAAGGAAUAUUGGUCAAUGGACGCAAGUCUGAACCAGCCAUGCCGCGUGAAGGAUGAAGGUCCUCUGGAUUGUAAACUUCUUUUAUCUGGGACGAAAACGGGAUUUUUAUCUCAAUUGACGGUACCAGAGGAAUAAGCACCGGCUAACUCCGUGCCAGCAGCCGCGGUAAUACGGAGGGUGCGAGCGUUAUCCGGAUUUACUGGGUUUAAAGGGUGCGUAGGUGGGCUUAUAAGUCAGUGGUGAAAUCUCCGAGCUUAACUUGGAAACUGCCGUUGAUACUAUUUGUCUUGAAUAUUGUGGAGGUAAGCGGAAUAUGUCAUGUAGCGGUGAAAUGCUUAGAUAUGACAUAGAACACCAAUUGCGAAGGCAGCUUACUACACAAUCAUUGACGCUGAGGCACGAAAGCGUGGGGAUCAAACA
This 421-nucleotide ribosomal RNA is filed under the name uncultured bacterium. RNAcentral's name for it is "bacterial SSU rRNA". It matches the Rfam family "Bacterial small subunit ribosomal RNA", at positions 355 to 774 of the family's 1533-position model. The record is from RNAcentral.